RNAcentral lists this ribosomal RNA (446 nucleotides) under uncultured bacterium. Its description in RNAcentral is "partial 16S ribosomal RNA". It matches the Rfam family "Bacterial small subunit ribosomal RNA", at positions 338 to 795 of the family's 1533-position model. The record is from RNAcentral.
CCUACGGGCGGCAGCAGUCGAGAAUCAUUCACAAUGGGGGAAACCCUGAUGGUGCGACGCCGCGUGGGGGAAUGAAGGUCUUCGGAUUGUAAACCCCUGUCAUGUGGGAGCAAAUUAAAAAGAUAGUACCACAAGAGGAAGAGACGGCUAACUCUGUGCCAGCAGCCGCGGUAAUACAGAGGUCUCAAGCGUUGUUCGGAAUCACUGGGCGUAAAGCGUGCGUAGGCUGUUUCGUAAGUCGUGUGUGAAAGGCGCGGGCUCAACCCGCGGACGGCACAUGAUACUGCGAGACUAGAGUAAUGGAGGGGGAACCGGAAUUCUCGGUGUAGCAGUGAAAUGCGUAGAUAUCGAGAGGAACACUCGUGGCGAAGGCGGGUUCCUAGACAUUAACUGACGCUGAGGCACGAAGGCCAGGGGAGCGAAAGGGAUUAGAUACCCUUGUAGUC